AGAAACCAACAGGGAUUGCCCUAGUAACGGCGAGUGAAGCGGCAACAGCUCAAAUUUGAAAUCUGGCCCUCGGGUCCGAAUUGUAAUUUGUAGAGGAUGUUUUUGGUGCGGUAUCUUCCGAGUUCCUUGGAACAGGACGCCUUAGAGGGUGAGAGCCCCGUACGGUUGAAUGCCUAGCCUUUGUAAAACUCCUUCGACGAGUCGAGUAGUUUGGGAAUGCUGCUCUAAAUGGGAGGUAAAUUUCUUCUAAAGCUAAAUACCGGCCAGAGACCGAUAGCGCACAAGUAGAGUGAUCGAAAGAUGAAAAGCACUUUGAAAAGAGGGUUAAAUAGCACGUGAAAUUGUUGAAAGGGAAGGAUUCAUGACCAGACUUUUUCUAGGCGAAUCAUCCGGUGUUCUCACCGGUGCACUUCGUUUAGUUUAGGCCAGCAUCGAUUUUCGGGGUGGGAUAAAAGCUUUAGGAAUGUGGCUCCCUCGGGAGUGUUAUAGCCUAUUGUAUAAUACCGCCCUGGGGAUCGAGGUACGCGCUUCUGCAAGGAUGCUGGCGUAAUGGUUAUCAAUCACCCGUCUUGAAACACGGACCAAGGAGUCGAACAUUUGUGCAAGUGUUUGGGUGUUAAACCCUCACGCGUAAUGAAAGUGAACGGAGGUGAGAGCCCUUACGGGUGCAUCAUCGACCGAUCCUGAUGUCUUCGGAUGGAUUUGAGUAAGAGCAUAACUGUUCGGACCCGAAAGAUGGUGAACUAUGCGUGGAUAGGGUGAAGCCAGAGGAAACUCUGGUGGAGGCUCGCAGCGGUUCUGACGUGCAAAUCGAUCGUCAAAUCUGCGCAUGGGGGCGAAAGACUAAUCGAAC
RNAcentral lists this ribosomal RNA (853 nucleotides) under Allelochaeta biseptata. RNAcentral's name for it is "partial 28S ribosomal RNA". It matches the Rfam family "Eukaryotic large subunit ribosomal RNA", at positions 60 to 940 of the family's 3401-position model. The record is from RNAcentral. Lineage: Eukaryota; Fungi; Ascomycota; Sordariomycetes; Amphisphaeriales; Sporocadaceae.